RNAcentral lists this unclassified non-coding RNA (311 nucleotides) under uncultured fungus. RNAcentral describes it as "partial contains small subunit ribosomal RNA, internal transcribed spacer 1, and 5.8S ribosomal RNA". The stretch from base 1 to 73 matches the Rfam family "Eukaryotic small subunit ribosomal RNA", at positions 1759 to 1831 of the family's 1831-position model. Lineage: Eukaryota; Fungi. The record is from RNAcentral.
CCAAACUUGGUCAUUUAGAGGAAGUAAAAGUCGUAACAAGGUCUCCGUUGGUGAACCAGCGGAGGGAUCAUUAGAGAGUUCUCAUAAAACUCCCAAACCCAUGUGAACAUACCUUUUGUUGCCUCGGCAGGUCGUGCCGGCGCUUAACCGCGUAGUACCCUACCCCGUAGGGCCUACCCGGGACGCGCCGGCGGCCCCUGCCGGCGGCCCACGAAACUCUGUUUAGCAUAUUGAAUUCUGAACGUAUAACUAAAUCAGUUAAAACUUUCAACAACGGAUCUCUUGGUUCUGGCAUCGAUGAAGAACGCAGC